GGCGUUUCCAGCCAUUCUCACACGGCUUCUCAGCCGGGGUCUCCCACCCCGGCCCUGGCCCUGGGCCUGCCCUCACUGCCUCCUCCCCAUCCCCUACCCCUAGAGGCCUCCUGCCCUGGUCACCUACGCGUCACCUAAGCCCCGAGGCCAGGCGGCUUCUUGUCUACUAAAGACUUCCGGAGAGAGGCAUUCACCCUGUGGUCAGAGCUGGGGUUUCCAUGGAGGAGCACCACAGCCAUAAAGAAAGUUAUGGAGGCUGUGAAGUGCAAGGUCAAGAGGCUGCAUCUGGUGAAGACCUUCUUGCUGGUAGGGUCUCUCUACCUGGUCCUGAGGCAGUCCAGGGCAUCAC
RNAcentral lists this long non-coding RNA (349 nucleotides) under Homo sapiens (human). RNAcentral describes it as "non-protein coding lnc-TTLL2-2:1". The record is from RNAcentral. Lineage: Eukaryota; Metazoa; Chordata; Mammalia; Primates; Hominidae.